Molecule: transfer RNA, 74 nt
Filed under: Ruminococcus sp. AM36-17
Lineage: Bacteria; Bacillati; Bacillota; Clostridia; Eubacteriales; Oscillospiraceae
Also listed under: 1 other name
Description: tRNA-Met
Rfam family: tRNA
About the family: Transfer RNA (tRNA) molecules are approximately 80 nucleotides in length.
Source: RNAcentral
GGACGCUUAGCUCAGUUGGUUAGAGCAACCGGCUCAUAACCGGUCGGUCCUGGGUUCGAGCCCCAGAGCGUCCA